Molecule: long non-coding RNA, 701 nt
Organism: Ictidomys tridecemlineatus (thirteen-lined ground squirrel)
Lineage: Eukaryota; Metazoa; Chordata; Mammalia; Rodentia; Sciuridae
Source: RefSeq, a predicted model, not a curated record
UGCAAAGGCAGGAAAAACCCCUAGUAAACUUCAGAUCCCUACAUCUGAGAAAGGGAAAGAAUGCUCCCCACCGCAAAGGACCACAGUUACAAUUUACUAGGUAACCACACCCACCGCAUUGCAGAAGCCAUGAACUUGGCGCGGGGGUGAGAAGUGGGGAGAGGGAAGGGGGUAAGGAAGAAGUAGGGCGCGAUUAAGACAGGAAACCCGAGAAAGCGAGCCCCUGCGGAAAAAGCCAGGAAACACUAGUCCGAACUGGCUGAGACCCCGACUCCAGCGGUCCCAAGUCCCGGCCUCCCCACCCCCACCGCCGCAGAGCCGCCUUCGCAGACACCUCCCAAGGCAGCUCGCAGCGCGGCAGGCAGCAGGCGCCAGUGGCCACAUGAUGUGUAUUUGCCAGCGUGGAUACCACCUGAAAAUGGGAUUGCACUGGAAUCCACAGCUUCCAGAAUGCUCUGGAAAUCAAUGAAACAUCAUCUUCAGUGUCUUUGUCCCUUGAAAUAAAUUUGUUUAAUAGGUCAAAGCCUUUUGAGAACCAGCCAUAGUGGUUCAAGAUGUUAUUAGGGAUUUUCCUGAAUAUCCAAAGAUGACUCAUUUAAAGGUAAUAGAUUGGAAAAGAAUACUGGAGUUUCUCAAACUAGGUUGCCUACAGUUUACUAAGUUACAUAUGUCAAUAAUAAAUUUAGAAGGUGAUAAACAUA